Non-coding RNA from Loxodonta africana (African savanna elephant), 46 nucleotides. The record is from Rfam. Lineage: Eukaryota; Metazoa; Chordata; Mammalia; Proboscidea; Elephantidae.
ACAAUGGCUCCGCUAGGAGCCACUUCACAGAAAGAUGAUUACAUAG